UGUUUACUAAAGGACAAGUCACCACAGGACAGUACAGGAUGCUUGCCAAAAGAGGUGGAUAUGUCUGGGUUGAAACUCAAGCAACUGUCAUAUAUAACACCAAGAAUUCUCAACCACAGUGCAUUGUAUGUGUGAAUUACGUUGUGAGUGGCAGAAUGAGAAAUUUAGAAAAGAACAUGUUUACAAAAGAAGCUUUAGCUUUGGCUUGGCGAUAUUUUUUACCUCCAUACACCUUCCAGAUCAGAGUUGGUGCUUUGUAUCUGCUAUAUGGAUUAUAUAAUACCCAACUGUGUCAACCAAAACAAAAGAUCAGAGUUGCCCUGAAGGAUUGGGAUGAAGUUUUAAAAUUUCAGCAAGAUUUAGUAAAUGCACAGCAUUUUGAUGCAGCUUAUAUUUUUAGGAAGCUACGACUAGACAGAGCAUUUCACUUUACAGCAAUGCCCAAAUUGCUGUCAUAUAGGAUGAAGAAAAAAAUUCACCGAGCUGAAGUUACAGAAGAAUUUAAGGACCCAAGUGAUCGUGUGAUGAAACUUAUCACUUCUGAUGUAUUAGAGGAAAUGCUGAAUGUUCAUGAUCAUUAUCAGAACAUGAAACAUGUAAUUUCAGUUGAUAAGUCCAAGCCAGAUAAAGCCCUCAGCUUGAUAAAGGAUGAUUUUUUUGACAAUAUUAAGAACAUAGUUUUGGAGCAUCAGCAGUGGCACAAAGACAGAAAGGUAUGCA
Homo sapiens (human) is the source of this 720-nucleotide long non-coding RNA. The record is from Ensembl. NCBI's taxonomy places the organism in Eukaryota, Metazoa, Chordata, Mammalia, Primates, Hominidae.